UAAACUAGGAUUAGAUACCCUAUUAUAUUUAAAUUAAUAAAGUAGUAAAAUAAUUAAACUAAUUUAAUAUGGCGGCAUUUCAUCUAUUUAGAGGAAUUUGUUUAUUAAUCGAUAAUCCACGUUAUUUUUCACUUUAAUUUUAAAAUUUAUAUACCGCCAUCUCAAGAAUUAAUUAAAAAAUCUUCUCAUAAUUAUUUAAAAAAAGUUAGGUCAAGGUAUAAUCAACAUUAAAGAAUAAAUGAAUUACAUUAAAUAUUAUUUAAAGCCUAUAUAUAUAUAUACAAAUACAAAUAAGAAUUUAAAAGUAAUAUACAAAUAAUA
RNAcentral lists this ribosomal RNA (321 nucleotides) under Pireneitega garibaldii. Its description in RNAcentral is "partial small subunit ribosomal RNA". Lineage: Eukaryota; Metazoa; Arthropoda; Arachnida; Araneae; Agelenidae. The record is from RNAcentral.